This is a long non-coding RNA of Micropterus salmoides (largemouth bass), 2216 nucleotides long. RefSeq lists it as uncharacterized. The transcript is spliced from 2 exons. Lineage: Eukaryota; Metazoa; Chordata; Actinopteri; Centrarchiformes; Centrarchidae. The record is from RefSeq and is a predicted model, not a curated record.
UUCCGAACCUGGCAUGUGUGUGCUUUUCUCUUCUGUAGCACUUUACUUUUUUGUAUAAAACUUUUCUGCUUUUCUCUAUAACUCACUGUUGAUCUAAAAAUCACCACAGAUGUUUGAGACCUAAUCUUUGAGACAAUGUGGAGACAAACAUUCACACAUUAAGUAGAUUCUUACUUACCAAGCAGCCGCGGUAAAGAUGAUUUCUCCAUUUUAACUCUUGGUCAUCUGAGAUCAACACAUUAACGUUCACCAGUCACACCAAGUAAAACCCUCCUCCUUCCUCUUUGUGUGUCACUCGUUCUCUUGUGGUUUUCUCUCACAAAGUUAACAGGAAAUAUACUUAUACAUGUUUCUCAGUGGAAAACUGACCAGGUUGUGCAGAGCCACAGUGGAGACACUUACUGAGAGACAAAUCACAUCUUUUGCCAGUUUAGUCUUUUAUAGACAGCAUGUAUUAACUUGGUAUUUGUAUAUAAUUUACCAAACAAAUAUACAUAUGUAUACAAACAUAAGAUCAUGUGGCAAUAAAUAAAGGACAUCAUCAUUCAACCUCACCCCUGUUUUCUGGCAUGGCUGCAGAACAUUGACUUUGAAGCCAAAAGAUUCACAAGAACUGCAGGCCUGUAAAAUUACUGACAAUACUCACAAAUGAAAGCAAACAUUGCAGAAACUUGGAAAGGAAAUGGUAUUCCACCAAUUUCAAAGAAUCUCGAUGAAUCUGGCAAGAAAACAUGUAGGAAGGCCCUCAGUGAUGCCAGAGCAGCGUAUUACUCCACAUUAAUAGCAGAAAAUAAGAACAACCCCAAGUUCCUUUUCAGCACUGUAGCCAGACUAACAGAAAGUCACAGCUCUGUUGAACCAUGUAUUCCUAAAGCCAUCAUUAGUAACGACUUCAUGAGCUUCUUUAAUCAUAAAAUUUAAAUUACUAGAGACAAAAUUCAGCAAGACCUGCCCUCAACUAGCAACAACUUAUCUCCAAAAUCAGGAACCUCAGAAACAGCUGUAAAACCAGAUAUAUGUUUAGACUGCUUUGUUUCCCUCCACCUUUACCAGCUAACUUCAAAAAUGUCUAAAGCAUCAACCUGUCUUUUAAGUCCCCAUCCCAACUAGACUGCUUAAAGAAGUUUUACCCUUAGUCAGCACUUCUUUAUUAGAUAUGAUCAAACUGUUUUUAUUAGCAGGCUAUGUGCCACAGAGAGUGACUGAGUCCAAACAAAUCCAUAAAGAAACAAAAUCAAAACAGCCAAUCAAAAUCAAAAGAAGGCAAAAGUGCAACAAAGAUCCACAAACAAAACAAGCAAGAUUAAAAACUGGAACACAUUUGAAAGAGCACAACAAGCUACAAGGAUCCGACAAAAGGGAACAAGCAAACCUACCAUUAUAUAGAGGGGGCAGGGUAACUGUAACACAGGUGAGACACAUGGGACUAAUAAGACUGAACAGGAAACAAAGCUAGACAAAGACACCAGACACAGACAACUCCAAAACAAACCAGGAAGUAAAACUCACAAAGACGCACAAGGGCGACUUAAAUAAAACAGAGCACAGAAACAAACGAACAACUGACAAAAAACCAAGAACACAGGAGGCGGGGAGUGAUAAACACAGGAGGAAAUGGCAGAAACACAACAAAGAUGAACAAAUAAAAAGCCAAAUGUCGCGGUGACAGCCUGGCUGUUGGUUCACUCACCUCUGCCUCCCAGUUCGGCCAGCCGGGCUUGCACGCCAGCCUCCUCCUCCUCUCGCCGCCUCCAUGACGCCCUCCGGCUUCCCCCCUUGCACCCCGCCGGGUCCCCGGUCACUGCGUCCUCUCCUCCCCGUCUGCCAGCCUGCCUCGAACCUCCAGCCUAAGCACCUUCCGCUCCUCCAGCUACUCGGUCCCCCGCGUCCUCGUCUGCCUCUCCCCCUCUUUCCUCCCGUCCCUCCUCGUCCCCCUUUUUCCUCAAACCUCCUUUUCAAACCCUCAGCGUUGCGUUUGGGUCCGUUCUGUCUACCGUUGCACCAAACCCAAAAACAUGAUACAUCCUCUGUAUAACUUGUAACUUAGCAUGACACAGAGACUGAGGUUUGGUCAAUUUUGUGAAGUUUAUUGAAAACUUUUAAAGUAAAUAAAAAGUAAACAUAUCACCCUGUUUAACAUCUAAACCAAACAAGCAAGAGUAACAACAAAACUCAAACCAGAACCUGAACCUGAGCUUUUAUUUGGACCAAAAACA